GUGAAGGAGAUGCAAAUAAUUUUGAUGUUGGCAAUGAAGUACAACCCAACCCAACACCAAGUUCUUCCAAAAAGAGAAAGGUUUUAGGGAAAGGAGAGAAAAUCGGGGCAACAGAGAAACUUCAACGAUCUCUUGAUCGUAUGCUCGAUGGGUUUGGGCCAAGCCAACAAGGACUCCCAGAAGAUAACAUUAUUUAUGCUAAAUGUUUGAAAAUGUUGGAUGAAAUCCCAUCCUUGGUAAAAGGAUCACAUUUACACUUUAAGGCUGUUAGAAUCCUUGCCAAUAAAGAAAAUAGGACAACAUUUUAUUACUUCAUGAAUACCUCAACUGCUGAUAUGGCUCUUGAUUGGAUAGACACU
RNAcentral lists this long non-coding RNA (359 nucleotides) under Lathyrus oleraceus (garden pea). RNAcentral's name for it is "Pisum sativum (pea) long non-coding RNA (PSAT_LNC024720)". The record is from RNAcentral. Lineage: Eukaryota; Viridiplantae; Streptophyta; Magnoliopsida; Fabales; Fabaceae.